RNAcentral lists this long non-coding RNA (616 nucleotides) under Papio anubis (olive baboon). RNAcentral describes it as "lncRNA (ENSPANG00000044806.1)". Lineage: Eukaryota; Metazoa; Chordata; Mammalia; Primates; Cercopithecidae. The record is from RNAcentral.
AUUUCAAUGACAUAAAUCAGAACAUUCUCAUGCAGUAUAUUUUUCGUCUCAGCAAACACACAUACCCAAACAUAUACACAACAUCCAUACAUUUUAAGAUCUUUGUCAAAGCCCAUACAGAAUAUCUAAAGGUCCUGUGGGUCCAUUAUAAGUUGUUGUUCAAAUUUAUUCUUUAAACUAGUCCCUGAACCUCUCAAUAAUCUCUUUUGAGAACGCUUUUACCAUUUUGUCUCUUAUAGGGAGGUCACUCUAAGUGCCUUUUAAUGUGUGCUGAAGAAAGGGCAGCACAGCUGAAGCCUGAUUUAAAAUCUGAUCUUCUCCCUAAUGUCACAAGGACAUCCUGAGACAAUGGCUGAAGAGCUAUGCACCAGUACCCAGCUGGAUCCCUGAUACUUACAUUGGCAGAUGCAUUAUCAACACAGACAUUGAUUUAGAGUGAAUUAAAGGAAUUACAAAGAUCAAGAUGAAUUCAGUGAAGCUUCCCAUAGGACUGUUCAAAGAUCUCCAGAAAUCCCAGGACCAAAAUAAUGAGAUACGCGAUUAUGGUGGCUGGCAUGUCUCAAGAUCUGCAAUCAGCUGGAGACCCAGGAGACUUGAUGGUGUAGUUCCAGUCUGA